Molecule: ribosomal RNA, 623 nt
Filed under: fungal endophyte
Lineage: Eukaryota; Fungi
Description: eukaryotic LSU rRNA
Rfam family: 5.8S ribosomal RNA (bases 200-353)
Source: RNAcentral
AUUACAGAGUUUUCUAAACUCCCAACCCUAUGUGAACUUACCUUUGUUGCUUCGGCGGCGGAGGCUACCCUGCGGGAGAAUACCACUUAGUGGUUACCCUGUAGUUUCAGGUACAUCAGCUACCCGGUAGUCAUCCCCGCCGGCGGCCAACUAAACUCUGUUUUCUUUGGAAUUCUGAAUAACAAACUUAAUAAGUUAAAACUUUCAACAACGGAUCUCUUGGUUCUGGCAUCGAUGAAGAACGCAGCGAAAUGCGAUAAGUAAUGUGAAUUGCAGAAUUCAGUGAAUCAUCGAAUCUUUGAACGCACAUUGCGCCCAUUAGCAUUCUAGUGGGCAUGCCUGUUCGAGCGUCAUUUCACCACUUAAGCCUUGUUGCUUAGCGUUGGGAGCCUACGGCACGGCCCGUAGCUCCUUAAAGUGAUUGGCGGAGUUGGUUCUCACUCUAAGCGUAGUAAUUAUAUCUCGCUUCUGUAGUGGUCCCGGCCCCUGCCGUAAAACCCCUUAUACAAAGGUUGACCUCGGAUCAGGUAGGAAUACCCGCUGAACUUAAGCAUAUCAAUAAGCGGAGGAAAAGAAACCAACAGGGAUUGCCCUAGUAACGGCGAGUGAAGCGGCAACAGCUC